GCCUUCAGCCAUACCACCCUGAACGUACCUAAUCUCAUCUUGUCUCCGGAGCUGGGAAGCAGAGUCAGGCUUACUUAGUACUAGGAUGGGAGAAACGCCAGCUUGCCUGCUUCGAGGCCUCUGCUGUUGUGGCUC
RNAcentral lists this ribosomal RNA (135 nucleotides) under Jaculus jaculus (lesser Egyptian jerboa). The record is from RNAcentral. Lineage: Eukaryota; Metazoa; Chordata; Mammalia; Rodentia; Dipodidae.